Molecule: ribosomal RNA, 505 nt
Filed under: uncultured bacterium
Lineage: Bacteria
Description: partial 16S ribosomal RNA
Rfam family: Bacterial small subunit ribosomal RNA
Source: RNAcentral
GACGAACGCUGGCGGCGUGCCUAAUACAUGCAAGUAGAACGCACAGUUUAUACCGUAGCUUGCUACACCAUAGACUGUGAGUUGCGAACGGGUGAGUAACGCGUAGGUAACCUGCCUGGUAGCGGGGGAUAACUAUUGGAAACGAUAGCUAAUACCGCAUAAUAUUGAUUAUUGCAUGAUAAUUGAUUGAAAGAUGCUAUUGCAUCACUACCAGAUGGACCUGCGUUGUAUUAGCUAGUAGGUGAGGUAACGGCUCACCUAGGCGACGAUACAUAGCCGACCUGGGAGGGUGGUCGGCCACACUGGGACUGAGACACGGCCCAGACUCCUACGGGAGGCAGCAGUAGGGAAUCUUCGGCAAUGGACGAAAGGCUGACCGAGCAACGCCGCGUGAGUGAAGAAGGUUGUCGGAUCGUAAAGCUCUGUUGUAAGAGAAGAACGGGUGUGAGAGUGGAAAGUUCACACUGUGACGGUAACUUACCAGAAAGGGACGGCUAACUACGGG